Molecule: unclassified non-coding RNA, 148 nt
Organism: Papio anubis (olive baboon)
Lineage: Eukaryota; Metazoa; Chordata; Mammalia; Primates; Cercopithecidae
Rfam family: Metazoan signal recognition particle RNA
About the family: The signal recognition particle (SRP) is a universally conserved ribonucleoprotein. It is involved in the co-translational targeting of proteins to membranes.
Source: Ensembl
GCUGGGCAUGGUGGCACACGCCUGUAGUCCCAGCUACUCAGGAGGCUGAGGUGGGGGAAUUGCUUGAGCCCAGGAGAUUGAGACUGCAGUGAGCUAUGAUGGCGCCACUGCCCUCCAGCCUGGGCAACAGAGUGAGACCCUGUCUCAA